GGGGUUGGGGCUCAGUGGUAGAGCACUUGCCUAGCGUAAGGCACUGGGUUCGAUCCCCAGCACCACA
This 67-nucleotide transfer RNA is filed under the name Marmota monax (woodchuck). Its description in RNAcentral is "tRNA.Leu". The record is from RNAcentral. Lineage: Eukaryota; Metazoa; Chordata; Mammalia; Rodentia; Sciuridae.